This 484-nucleotide ribosomal RNA is filed under the name uncultured bacterium. Its description in RNAcentral is "partial 16S ribosomal RNA". It matches the Rfam family "Bacterial small subunit ribosomal RNA", at positions 30 to 507 of the family's 1533-position model. The record is from RNAcentral.
AUUGAACGCUGGCGGCAGGCCUAACACAUGCAAGUCGAGCGGAUGAAGGGAGCUUGCUCCUGGAUUCAGCGGCGGACGGGUGAGUAAUGCCUAGGAAUCUGCCUGGUAGUGGGGGAUAACGUCCGGAAACGGGCGCUAAUACCGCAUACGUCCUGAGGGAGAAAGUGGGGGAUCUUCGGACCUCACGCUAUCAGAUGAGCCUAGGUCGGAUUAGCUAGUUGGUGGGGUAAAGGCCUACCAAGGCGACGAUCCGUAACUGGUCUGAGAGGAUGAUCAGUCACACUGGAACUGAGACACGGUCCAGACUACUACGGGAGGCAGCAGUGGGGAAUAUUGGACAAUGGGCGAAAGCAUGAUCCAGCAAUGCCGCGUGUGUGAAGAAGGUCUUCGGAUUGUAAAGCACUUUAAGUUGGGAGGAAGGGAAGUAAGUUAAUACCUUGCUGUUUUGACGUUACCAACAGAAUAAGCACCGGCUAACUUCGUG